This 786-nucleotide ribosomal RNA is filed under the name uncultured Neocallimastigales. RNAcentral's name for it is "partial large subunit ribosomal RNA". It matches the Rfam family "Eukaryotic large subunit ribosomal RNA", at positions 23 to 645 of the family's 3401-position model. The record is from RNAcentral. Lineage: Eukaryota; Fungi; Neocallimastigomycota; Neocallimastigomycetes; Neocallimastigales.
AUAGAGACUCAGAGCUGCAUAUCAAUAAGCGGAGGAAAAGAAACUAACUAGGAUUCCCUCAGUAACGGCGAGUGAAGCGGGAAGAGCUCAAAUUUGAAAUCUUCAAGGUUCUACCUUGACGAAUUGUAGUUUAAAGAAGUGUUUUCUGUUGGAGUUUUGGUAAAAGUUCUUUGGAAUAGGACAUCAUAGAGGGUGAGAAUCCCGUAUUUGACCAUUAUUUCCAGCUUUGUGAUACACUUUCAAAGAGUCGGAUUGUUUGGGAAUGCAGUCCAAAAUGGGUGGUAAAUUUCAUCUAAAGCUAAAUAUUGGCGAGAGACCGAUAGCGAACAAGUACCUGUGAGGGAAAGAUGAAAAGAACUUUGAAAAGAGAGUUAAACAGUACGUGAAAUUGUCAAAAGGGAAGCGUUUGACACCAGUGUUGUUUUUCUCGAAAAUCAAUUACAAAAUGACUGGAUUUUGUGUUGUAUUGACCUUUAUCAGCUUUCUGCACUCUUUUUCUAGUCUUUUCUUAAUGCACUUUUCGUUUAACAAGUCAACAUCAAUUUCCUUUUGUUGUAAAAGGAGUCAUUGGAAGGUGGCUUUCCUUUUCGGUAGAAAGUGUUUAUAGCCUUUGGCCUCUGCAAUCGGAGAGAUUGAGGCCAGCAGCGUAGACUCCUUCUGGGGUUAGAUACACUUGUGCUAAGCUAUAGCCUUGUAUAGACAACUUGUUGACUAUGCUCAGUCAUGUAGCUUACUCGCUUGUGCUAUUUUACCUACGCUUAGGAUGUUGAAGUCAUCGUAUCGCGC